RNAcentral lists this ribosomal RNA (406 nucleotides) under uncultured bacterium. RNAcentral describes it as "partial 16S ribosomal RNA". It matches the Rfam family "Bacterial small subunit ribosomal RNA", at positions 30 to 526 of the family's 1533-position model. The record is from RNAcentral.
AUUGAACGCUGGCGGCAGGCCUAACACAUGCAAGUCGAACGAGUGGCGGACGGGAGAGCAAUGUCUGGGAAACUGCCUGAUGGAGGGGGAUAACUACUGGAAACGGUAGCUAAUACCGCAUACCAUCGGAUGUGCCCAGUUGGGAUUAGCUAGUAGGGGGGGUAAAGGCUCACCUAGGCGACGAUCCCUAGCUGUUCUGAGAGGAUGACCGGCCACACUGGAACUGUGACACGGUCCAGCCUCCUACGGGAGGCAGCGGUGGUGAAUAUUGCACAAUGGGCGCAAGCCUGAUGCGCCCAUGCCGCGUGUAUGAAGAGGGCCGUCGGGUUGUAAAGUACUUUCAUCGGGGAGGCGUUACCCGCAGAGGAAGCGCCGGCUAACUCCGUGCCAGCCGCCGCGGUAAUUC